RNAcentral lists this transfer RNA (67 nucleotides) under Marmota monax (woodchuck). Its description in RNAcentral is "tRNA.Ala". The record is from RNAcentral. Lineage: Eukaryota; Metazoa; Chordata; Mammalia; Rodentia; Sciuridae.
GGUAGUGUCUCAGUGGUAGAGCACUUGCCUGGCAUGUAUGAGGCACUGGGUUUGAGCCUCAGCAUCA